UCCGUAGGCGGGCAAUUAAGUCAGAGGUGAAAUCCCACAGCUCAACUGUGGAACUGCCUUUGAUACUGGUUGUCUUGAGUUACAGUGAAGUAGAUAGAAUAUGUAGUGUAGCGGUGAAAUGCAUAGAUAUUACAUAGAAUACCGAUUGCGAAGGCAGUCUACUAACUGUAUACUGACGCUAAUGGACGAAAGCGUGGGGAGCGAACAGGAUUAGAUACCCUGGUAGUCC
Molecule: ribosomal RNA, 229 nt
Filed under: uncultured bacterium
Lineage: Bacteria
Description: partial 16S ribosomal RNA
Rfam family: Bacterial small subunit ribosomal RNA
Source: RNAcentral